Molecule: ribosomal RNA, 500 nt
Filed under: bacterium enrichment culture clone ALO1_GLFRUDD03HBMF0
Lineage: Bacteria
Description: bacterial SSU rRNA
Rfam family: Bacterial small subunit ribosomal RNA
Source: RNAcentral
GAGUUUGAUCUUGGCUCAGGACGAACGCUGGCGGCGUGCCUAACACAUGCAAGUCGAGCGAGAGAGAGAGUUGUAGUAAUACAAUGAUCAAUCGAGCGGCGGAUGGGUGAGUAACGCGUGAGUAACCUACCCUAUAAAGGGGGAUACCAUUGAGAAAUCAAUGCUAAUACCGCAUAAGACCACAGAGCCGCAUGGCAAAGGGGUCAAAGGAGAAAUCCGAUAUAGGAGGGGCUCGCGUCCCAUUAGCUAGUUGGUAAGAUAAAAGCCUACCAAGGCGACGAUGGGUAGCCGACCUGAGAGGGUGAACGGCCACACUGGAACUGAGAGACGGUCCAGACUCCUACGGGAGGCAGCAGUGGGGAAUAUUGGGCAAUGGGGGAAACCCUGACCCAGCAACGCCGCGUGAGUGAAGAAGGUUUCGGAUCGUAAAACUCUGUCAUUAGGGACGAAAAAAUAGACGGUACCUAAUGAGGAAGCCCCGGCUAACUACGUGCCAGCAG